Molecule: ribosomal RNA, 254 nt
Filed under: uncultured bacterium
Lineage: Bacteria
Description: partial 16S ribosomal RNA
Rfam family: Bacterial small subunit ribosomal RNA
Source: RNAcentral
UACGGAGGGUGCAAGCGUUAUCCGGAUUCACUGGGUUUAAAGGGUGUGUAGGCGGGCUGUUAAGUCAGUGGUGAAAUCUCCGGGCUCAACCCGGAAACUGCCAUUGAUACUAAUGGUCUUGAAUUUUGUUGAGGUAGGCGGAAUAUGUCAUGUAGCGGUGAAAUGCUUAGAUAUGACAUAGAACACCGAUUGCGAAGGCAGCUUACUAAGCAAAUAUUGACGCUGAGGCACGAAAGCGUGGGGAUCAAACAGGA